This 297-nucleotide unclassified non-coding RNA is filed under the name Hevea brasiliensis (rubber tree). The record is from RNAcentral. Lineage: Eukaryota; Viridiplantae; Streptophyta; Magnoliopsida; Malpighiales; Euphorbiaceae.
GUCAACUUUUUUGGAAAUGAUACAAAGAAAGAUAUCUCUGUUUACAACAGAAAAACUCUCCUCUGAUGAAUUGUAUAAUCGUUGGAAUUAUAAGAAUGAACAAAAAAAGAAAAUCCUAAAUAAUGAAUUUAUAAAUAGAGUCCAGGCUCUAGAUAAGGAAUAUCUUACUCUGAAUACACUCGAAAAAAGGACUAGACUAUGUAAUGAUAAAACUAAAAAAAAGUACUUACCUAAAAUUUAUGAUCCCUUUUUGAGUGGGUCCUGCCGCGGGAAAAUCCAAUUUUUUUUUUCACCCUC